AUUUUAUUUUGCUAGGUAAUGGCACAAACAACAACAACCAUCUCAGCCACUAUUGUUUCAUAAGUGAAAAGACAUGUCAUCCUCCAUAAACAGAGAAGACAUUAUCUCUGUAUACAUGACAGUCUUUCCCCAAAACGACAUCAGGAACCUCCUAUCAACAUAUGAUCCCUCCUCCCAACACACACACACACACACACACACACGCGCGCGCACACACACACACACAUACACGCACACACACACCUACCUGUUAUUUUCCUCGUUUCAUAACAGAAAUGUAAAAACUCGGUUUUGGAGGUGUCACUAGUGCUUCCCGCCGACUUCUAGGAGCGGCUGUCACAGAAUAUUGUGAGGUGCCUCCCUAGCAGCCCUGCGGUCUGGGAAUGAAGGAGCACACCCAGGGAUCGCCGUUAACACCCACGACUCCACCUGGACUAGUCCAGAUGCUGGCAUCAGAGCUGGCCUGCUGGCGGGGCUGGGCCAACCUACCAGCUGGCCAGUGGGCCAUCAAGCCUCUCUCUCCAGAACUUGAACAGAAUGAGAGGCUGUGUUUAGAUUGCAGAGCACAUUAGGGGGUGGGAUAAUCACUUUGAAACAUAAACAAUCGAGGUAGAGAAACGCAGGAGAACAGGACAAAGGGAAAAGGCCAGGUGGCCCCAGAGGAGGAAAAGUGAGCUGGAACCGUAUCCCCAAAGCCUUUUCAGGUCUAACCUCGUUUCCCACGAGGCCCGGCUGCGUUUCCGUGUCUGUGUCAGUGACACGCCCUCGUGCCUCUGAAGAACCUCCUCAGGUUGACUGCUCAUUUCUUUCUGGCAACCAAAGAGCCUUGGCUAGUACUGAAGUCAAGACAAAAACAGUGAUCAUUGAUGUAAAUGAAAGGGACACAGGUAGAGAGAAGCAGAAAAGGAGCAGUGAGUAAAAUCUGGUGAGGGAUCGAACGUGGGCGUGAGAGGGACAUCACGGAUCACUCCGGGGUCUUGAUCUGGGGAGAGGAGGCGUGUCAGAAACAGAGAACAGGAACACGCAGGGGAGUUGCUGGUGAGAGCACGACAUCCACUGGAGGAGCCUGUGUAGCCAGAGAGCAGCCUGAGGGCGAAACCAGAACCUUCCCUUGGAGCCUUUCUGGAGGUGGGAGCAGGCUGAGUCACGGCUACCUGAAUCUGUGCCAGGGCCACACGAGAUGCUUCUCCACGUCACCCGGGCCUUCAGUCCUGCCAAGGCCAUCAGAAAAGCACCGCUGGGCCUCGUUUCCUGCUGUGAAGCUGUUGGUAGAGCAUCCUCAAAAGAGCCUUUCCAAUGGACCUUCCUUCCUGAAGGUCUAGUCCUGCUUGGUUCACGACCAUCACAAAAGAGGCUCAAAGCGCCAAAGCUUCCUGAAAGAGGCGAUUCCUUUUCUCCGGAGCUAUCCAGGAGAAGCGUGGAAGAUCUAACGGCUAAGAGCUGAGUAACCUGGAACUCAGGGAGCAUGGUCAUGGGAGCGUCACUGGGCAAGUUAAAGGAGAAAACUACCAUCCGCUCCCUGCAGGGGCUGCCCCCCAAGCCUGUGCUGUUCUGUCUGGUGAGUAUCCCCCCGGCUUCCUAAUGCGCGAGGUCUAGCUUCCCAUAGGUCUGAGUCACGCUGUGGACUAGCCUCGGGUAUACUGGAUGGUUGACAGCUGUGAUCGUCCGAAACCAUGGUUUUGUCGUGCAUUUUUCAAAUGUGGUCUUUCCUACUUUUUAUCACGGAUGCCAGAUUUUCCUCCUUCUCCCAAAGUUAUCUUUAUAUAUGCACAUGUGUGCACACUCACGCACACACACACACACCCCUGUAUCUGAGUGGGGGGAUGUGGAGAUGGGAGACAGCAAAAGCGCAUGUUAAAUUCAAGUGAUCGUGUGUCUUAGUUCCCGUUGCUAUAACAGUGUGCCACAGGCUUCGUGACUUAUAAACAUCAGACAUUUAUUGCUCACAAUUCUGGAGACUGAAACAUGGCAGUCAAGGUGCCAGCAGGGUUGGGUGAGGGCCCUCUUCCAGGUCACAACUUCUCAUUUUGUCCUUACAGGGCAGAAAGAGGAGGCAGCUCCCUGGGGUCCCUUUUACGAGGGCACUAAUCCCAUCCUGAGGGCUCCACCCUCAUGACCCAAUCACCCCCCCAAAGGCUCCACCUCUGAAUACCGUCACAUUGGAGAUUAGCAUUUCUACAUAUGAAUUUUAGGGGGACAUUCAGUCCAUUGCACCCAUUUCACUGAUUUUAGGAGGAACACUUUCUCGUGCUCUAGCCAUUCUGAGAUCUCUUAUUCUAGCUGUGAAGUAGGCAGCUGUGUGUCAUAGUGUUGCUGGUACUGUAUGGGCAUCAAAGCUUAGAGAACGGGUGUCAGAGGUUUGGAGGAAAAUCCUGAAGACAACUGUGGAGCACUUUUAGAAGAAAUACGGCCUUACCAAAAUUCUCCUGAAAGCCCUCGAUGGCUCAUAGGACAGUGGUGGAUGGAAAACAUGGAUUCCAGAGGUCCUGCCUCAAAUGUGAUUCCAAAGAGGUAGAUUCUGCAUGGGGAAAAGUUUUAGGCAUACUUAACCAAUUUAUUUAGCCUCUAUUUCCUUUCUGUGUAUGCAGAAGAGUGAUACAUGAUAUAAUACAAUACGAACAGGUCUAAAAGAGUUCUUUUAACACGUUUAAAAUAAAAAUUCUAAGUGCUAAGAAAGCACUGUGACACAUACAGUGAGAUGGCAACAAUUUCCCUUGCUUGGUGUUUCAUUAAAUAACACCGAAGGAGCCUCAGAUUACAUGAAAUACAGUAGUAUUUGUUUUCUGUUUCAAUAAUCAUCAGUCUGUUUCUAAUCUAUUCAUGGAGAAAUAUGUGAGCCAUCUUGCCAUGAAACUAUUUUCGAAAUCUCAUGGAAGCCUACCAAGGUUUCACAAAUUAGCUAAGAAACUUGCUUGCUUUCGAGAGGGGAGUUUCCGGCACUAUAAGCCUAUGUUUCUGGGUGUAUUUUUGGUUAGCUUUUGUUAACCCUGGCUUUUGUCUAAAACAAACAAACAAACAAAUGAAAAAUAUAUAAAUAGGUGAAAUUUAUAAGUAAAGGAAAUACAUAUCAAGCAAAAUUAAAAUGCUUGCAUUACAAAACGUGCAAUUUGGAGAACGAGUGGUCGUUUGUGCAACGUCGGUGUGGCUUUGAUAAAGAUGUUUCAGUUCAAAAGCCUGGCCAGUCUGCUCCUGCACUAACUGACCCGUGGUUAGGGAUGUGUGUCCUUGAGUGCCCUUGGAUUUAUUUAUUAAUAUAUUUAAAUAGAAAAAAAUGUAACCUUGGGACUUCCCCGGUGGCGCAGUGGUUAAGAAUCCGCCUGCCAAUACCGGGGACACGGGUUCAAGCCCUGGUCCAGGAAGAUCCCUCAUGCCGCAGAGCGACUAAGCCCGUGCGCCACAACUACUGAAGUCUGCGCGCCUAGAGCUUGUGCUCUGCCAUAAAAGAAGCCACCGCAAUGAAAAGCCCACGCACCAUAAUGAAGAGUAGCCCCCGCUCUCCUCAACUAGAGAAAGCCCGUGCACAGCAACGAAGACCCAACGCAGUGAAAAAUAAAUUA
Molecule: long non-coding RNA, 3557 nt
Organism: Orcinus orca (killer whale)
Lineage: Eukaryota; Metazoa; Chordata; Mammalia; Artiodactyla; Delphinidae
Exons: 4
Source: RefSeq, a predicted model, not a curated record